This 182-nucleotide non-coding RNA is filed under the name Alkalicella caledoniensis. RNAcentral's name for it is "6S / SsrS RNA". It matches the Rfam family "6S / SsrS RNA". From Rfam's summary of the family: E. coli 6S RNA was the first non coding RNA to be sequenced, but its function was unknown until recently. It consists of 184 nucleotides that fold into an extended hairpin structure with a large single-stranded internal bulge. The 6S RNA specifically associates with RNA polymerase holoenzyme containing the sigma70 specificity factor. Lineage: Bacteria; Bacillati; Bacillota; Clostridia; Eubacteriales; Proteinivoracaceae. The record is from Rfam by way of RNAcentral.
AUAUUCCUGAGGUGUUCGAAAGCUCUAUUAUUUUCAACCUACAUUUUGACAUCGGGAGUUCGAGUUUUUAAAGCAACGCUAAGCCAUCUUUAGAAUGGAAAGCGAACCUUUAAAGCAGAGCACCCACCUGUGAGUAGAGCAGGGUCUUGAAAAUUUUGGGGCACCGGCAUCCUGGGUGCAAU